AGAGCUAGCGUUGAUCCUGGCAGUCUUCGGAUUGCUAGUCUGUUGGCAGUUCUUGUCCAUGUGAGUGUGGCCAUUGCCCAUAUAGGGUGCAAGGCCCAUAGAACAGCCCGUUCUACCGGUUAGCCCUGCCUUGGAGUCGGGUUGCUUGAGAGUGCAGCCCAAAGUUGGAGGUAAACCCCUCCUAAGGCUAUAAUAUGACUGCGAGACCGAUAGUAAACAAGUACCGUGAGGGAAAGUUGAAAAGAACUUAGAGGUGAGAGUUCAACAGGGCGUAAAACCGCUUAGAAGCAAACGGAUGGUGCUGACUUUGUUUCUGCCGGAUUCAAACGGUCUGAUGGUUGAUCGCUUGUACGCCGAUCGAAAGACGGUGUGCAGGGUGCACUCGGCCUAAGACUGUUGCAUUUUCGGUAGAAUGCAUCAUGACCGUUGAUGUCGCUGGCAUAAGACCGGCUUGUUGCCGACUGUAGGUUUUCGGACUUGCAGUGCCCCACUAGCCGUGUUCUGUCCGAGUUGGCGUCAGCGGGUAACUGGACGUGCCCGAUUCUUCUCGCCUGGUGCCGUCUCUUGGCUGAAUGACUCGUUUAACUGUGCUUGCACGGCGGAACAACCCUCAGUCAUCUGUGCGGUAUCUGUGCGAGUUGGCACUGAAGGUCAAUGGUGUCCGCGUCAGUCUCCCAUCCGACCCGUCUUGAAACACGGACCAAGGAGUCUAACAUGUGCGCAAGUCAUGGGGUGGAAAACCCAAAGGCGAAAUGAAGGUAAAGGCCGCAAGGCUGAGGUGUGAUGUUCAGUUUUAACUGGACCGCAACACCGUCCCAUCGCAUUGGCUCGUCCAAGCGGUGGAGAAAGAGCGUACACGUUGGGACCCGAAAGAUGGUGAACUAUGCCUGAGCAAGAUGAAGCCAGAGGAAACUCUGGUGGAGGUCUGUAGCGGUUCUGACGUGCAAAUCGAUCGUCAGACU
Molecule: ribosomal RNA, 962 nt
Filed under: Trichodorus obtusus
Lineage: Eukaryota; Metazoa; Nematoda; Enoplea; Triplonchida; Trichodoridae
Description: eukaryotic LSU rRNA
Rfam family: Eukaryotic large subunit ribosomal RNA
Source: RNAcentral